GCAAGCUUGCUUGGUGGAUCAGUGGCGAACGGGUGAGUAACACGUGAGCAACCUGCCCUGGACUCUGGGAUAAGCGCUGGAAACGGCGUCUAAUACUGGAUAUGAGCUUCUACCGCAUGGUGGGGGUUGGAAAGAUUUUUUGGUCUGGGAUGGGCUCGCGGCCUAUCAGCUUGUUGGUGAGGUAAUGGCUCACCAAGGCGUCGACGGGUAGCCGGCCUGAGAGGGUGACCGGCCACACUGGGACUGAGACACGGCCCAGACUCCUACGGGAGGCAGCAGUGGGGAAUAUUGCACAAUGGGCGGAAGCCUGAUGCAGCAACGCCGCGUGAGGGAUGACGGCCUUCGGGUUGUAAACCUCUUUUAGCAGGGAAGAAGCGAAAGUGACGGUACCUGCAGAAAAAGCGCCGGCUAACUACGUGCCAGCAGCCGCGGUAAUACGUAGGGCGCAAGCGUUAUCCGGAAUUAUUGGGCGUAAAGAGCUCGUAGGCGGUUUGUCGCGUCUGCUGUGAAAUCCCGAGGCUCAACCUCGGGCCUGCAGUGGGUACGGGCAGACUAGAGUGCGGUAGGGGAGAUUGGAAUUCCUGGUGUAGCGGUGGAAUGCGCAGAUAUCAGGAGGAACACCGAUGGCGAAGGCAGAUCUCUGGGCCGUAACUGACGCUGAGGAGCGAAAGGGUGGGGAGCAAACAGGCUUAGAUACCCUGGUAGUCCACCCCGUAAACGUUGGGAACUAGUUGUGGGGACCAUUCCACG
This 750-nucleotide ribosomal RNA is filed under the name Microbacterium aurantiacum. Its description in RNAcentral is "partial 16S ribosomal RNA". It matches the Rfam family "Bacterial small subunit ribosomal RNA", at positions 74 to 845 of the family's 1533-position model. The record is from RNAcentral. Lineage: Bacteria; Bacillati; Actinomycetota; Actinomycetes; Micrococcales; Microbacteriaceae.